This is a long non-coding RNA of Gallus gallus (chicken), 2862 nucleotides long. The record is from Ensembl. NCBI's taxonomy places the organism in Eukaryota, Metazoa, Chordata, Aves, Galliformes, Phasianidae.
UGUGCUUUAGAUUUUUAGUAAGCAAGAAAGAGAUGAAAAAUGGAAGGUAUUUUGCUGAGACCGGCUAAUUUUAAAUCUGGGCUCUUGCUUGUGAUCCAGUGUAAUUUAUGUAAAUGAUCUGUCUGUAACUGAAGAUGUAUGGGGAUAAAUUUCAGAUUAUCUGUGAGGGUUUAAGGAGGGUUUUAGGUGACUCAAAAAUGAUAAACUAACUUGACUGGGGAGUACAAUUCAAAUGAGUAUAUGAUCCAAUAUGCUGUAAUGUAGCGUGGUUCUUGGACCAUAGGAGCUGUCUGCUAGCUGUUUUUCUUUUAAAUCGCCUGAAGCAUACAUAUUUUAUGAAACUGGUGAUGCCUGAAUUGAUCAGUGUACUCUUGUGGCAGCAUCUGGGGAAUACUUCACCAUUUCUAGUGGUGGGAAGUAACGGAGGAGGGAUUUGGCAGGGCUGAUGGCAGCUCAAGCACCACCCACUGUCUGCACCAAGAGCAGCCAGGCACUGUGCUGAGCAGCCGGCAUUCUCCAUCAGCUGUUCUGCUGUUCCCACCGCAUUGCUCUGUCUAGGCUGGCCGGCUGUAUUUCUAGAUGGGGAAGUUGUUGGCAUUGAUGCCACAGACUGGUCACAAAUCAGGACAGAGAGUCAUCUUGCACACUGUAAUAACGUGAUACAUCUGAGGCCGUGGUAGUCAGCUUGAAAAAAAGACAUUGAAACACCCCAGUAGGAGGAUUGGUGUCAUUCACAAAAGCUGUAGGUCACUUGAGAUAAAUUCGUUCUGUGUGAUUUUCUGAGCAUUUGAAUUGUUUUCUUAAUUAUGUUAAUUCAUUCAGGACUAUGAAGUUCUUAACUGUUCUGUGUGGAAGGAAAAUGAUCUCUGUUUUUGGCAAAUAUCUAUCAGGUAACAGUGGCAGUGGAGGAGCUUCUUCAGUCAUAAGCUGUUUAUCUUAACCACUUGUGACAGACUAAGCUACACCUGAAUUUAGAGUUAAAGACUCAGAGGAAGGAAGGAAGUGCUUUUUCAUGUCUUAAGCUCUUCCUGAAAGCAGAAAACUGGUUGCAUUUCACUUUUGCAUAAAGUGCUGUUGCUUUUGAUAUGCAAAUGGUGCACUGUACCAUGUAGCCUCGGUUUUCUAGAGACCAAAAGGAAUGGCAGAGAAAAACGUAUGUGGUGUAGGAAUUCAAAUGGUUUCGAAGCAGGGUUCCUUUUCUAUUUCGCAAAUCAAUCCUAAAUGUCAACAAAGCAAAAAGAGAUCAAAUCGGGUUGGACUAUGAGGACAGGGAUUGCCUUGUGUGAUAAGGGACAUUUGAGAAUUUCUGCAUGUGAUGAAUAUAAAAGGCAGCUGAGCUGACUGAAUGUUAAAGCAGCUGUAGUGAGCAGCAAUAGAACAGAGUGGGUUGUAGCUCAGCGACAGCUCAUCGUAGAAUCAUCAUGUUUUCCUCUUAGAGCAUCUCUGAAAAACAAGGAGGAGUUCUUUUUUAUCUUCAUCUAACAAGCAGAUUUUGAGUAAUUAUUUUUCUUGAAAAUGUGCAUUAACAUCUGAGCUAUACAUAUAUAUACAUAUAUACAAAAGCACACAUAUAUAGAGUUGAGUGAUGAGACUUUCUGUCUGUGGUUCAAAAUCUUUUCUCUCUCCCUCACCUCAUUAAAUCACACAGUGUUUCCCCUAGUCAUUUCUCCUUUUCCUUAAGUGUUUCUCUUGUACGGAGGUCAGAUUUGCUCUGCUGGCAUUUCACGAUGCAGAAAUACUUGGUUAGCAAAGCAGACUUGUGCAUGUCUCAGUGCCUUUGACACUCUCCAUUCUUUUUCCCACCCACCCUCACCUUGAGAAGCUGCGGGUGUGCAGCACAGAUGGUGGCAAACGAGGGAGCUGUGCCAAUUGCAGGCGGUUGGAGUCGCCCUGGCUCAGCUGUACCAGGCACAUAAUACUCCAGAGCUUCAAAAUCAGAAGUAAAAUCAUUUGGACAGUUGCCACCUGCCCUCCUAAAUAGGUAAGCAUACUUAAAACAGGAAAAGGGGCCUUGCCCACUUUAUUCCUUUGAGUAGCUGUAAACAUCCCCCCCACCCCUUAAACUAGCAUCUGUCAUUUAGUUGUUUCGAAAUGAUGAACAUAAGGGCCUUGCAAAGAAAAGAAGAAUUACACUUCUUUUCUAAUUUACAGUAAUUAGAAUCAUAUAAUCAUUUAGGUUCAAGAUAAUAAAAUCCACCUAUAAGCCUGACCUACCAAGUCCUGUCACUAAGCUAUGUCCCUUAGUGCCACAUCUACACAUCUCUUGAAUAGUUCCAAGGAUGGAGAUUCCACCACUUCUCCGGGCAGCCUCUUCCAAUGCUUGGCCCUCAUCAUGUUUGUGUAGAAAUUCUUCCUAAUGUACAAUUUAAAACUUCCCUAGUGCAGGUUGGGACUUGUUUUCUUGUGUUCUAUCAUUUAUCGUCUGAGAAAAGAGAUUGACCCCUCUGUUGCAGCCUCCUCCCAGGUUAUUAUACGGAGCAAUGAGGCAUCUGCUCAGCCUCCUCCUCUUCAGAGUAAACAGCCCCAGUUUUCUUGGCUGCUUCUCAUACGUUUUGUUUUCUAGUCCCCUCACCAGCUUUAUCUCUCUUCUCUGAGAGAAGUUCCAGGAACUCUGGGUCUUUCUCGUAGUGAAGGCUCCAAAAGUGAACAUAGUAUUUGAGGUGUAUUCUCACUAGUGCCCAGAGCAGAGGGACAGUUGCUUCCUUAGUUCUUCUGACCAUGUUAUUUGAGUUGCAGGCCAGAAUGCUGUUGGUCAUCUUGGCCUCAGUGCUGGCUCAUGUGCAACUGUCAGCCAGCACGCACAGGUCUUUUUCUGCUGGUAGGCUUUCCAGCCACUGUUCCUCAAUCCUGUCUGGCUGUGUG